Molecule: non-coding RNA, 214 nt
Filed under: Acidaminococcus intestini
Lineage: Bacteria; Bacillati; Bacillota; Negativicutes; Acidaminococcales; Acidaminococcaceae
Description: T-box sequence
Rfam family: T-box leader
About the family: Uncharged tRNA acts as the effector for transcription antitermination of genes in the T-box leader family. T-boxes are found upstream of many aminoacyl-tRNA synthetase genes and some amino acid biosynthetic genes usually in Gram-positive bacteria.
Source: RNAcentral
GACAAUGCAAUGAGGGAGACAGUACUUCCCAUUUCUGGCAGAGCGAUCCGGGGAGGGUGUGAGCCUGGACAGAAGGAAAUGAGAAAGAAGAUCACUCCGGAGCUGGUCAUCGAAAUCACAGUAGAAUGACCCGUCUUAUGGCCGUUAUCCCAUACAAAGUGGCAGGAUAAGCCUGUCAUGAGGGUGGUACCACGGGUUAAACCUCGUCCCUUAG